CCUACGGGCGGCUGCAGUGAGGAAUAUUGGUCAAUGGACGAGAGUCUGAACCAGCCAAGCCGCGUGAAGGAUGACGGCCCUAUGGGCUGUAAACUCCUUUUAUAUGGGAAUAAAAUUUUAUACGUGUCUGUUCUUGUCUGUACCAUACGAAUAAGGAUCGGCUCACUCCGGGCCAGCAGCCGCGGUAAUACGUAGGGUCCGAGCGUUAUCCGGAUUUAUUGGGUUUAAAGAGAGCGUAGGUGGAGCGUUAAGUCAGUUGUGAAAGUUUGCGGCUCAACCGUACAAUUGCAGUUGAAACUGGAAGACUUGAGUGCAGUAGAGGAAGGCGGAA
Molecule: ribosomal RNA, 331 nt
Filed under: uncultured bacterium
Lineage: Bacteria
Description: partial 16S ribosomal RNA
Rfam family: Bacterial small subunit ribosomal RNA
Source: RNAcentral